GAUGAACGCUGGCGGCGUGCCUAAUACAUGCAAGUCGAGCGAACAGACGAGGAGCCUGCUCCUCUGACGUUAGCGGCGGACGGGUGAGUAACACGUGGAUAACCUACCUAUAAGACUGGGAUAACUUCGGGAAACCGGAGCUAAUACCGGAUAAUAUAUUGAACCGCAUGGUUCAAUAGUGAAAGACGGUUUUGCUGUCACUUAUAGAUGGAUCCGCGCCGCAUUAGCUAGUUGGUAAGGUAACGGCUUACCAAGGCAACGAUGCGUAACCGACCUGAGAGGGUGAUCGGCCACACUGGAACUGAGACACGGUCCAGACUCCUACGGGAGGCAGCAGUAGGGAAUCUUCCGCAAUGGGCGAAAGCCUGACGGAGCAACGCCGCGUGAGUGAUGAAGGUCUUCGGAUCGUAAAACUCUGUUAUUAGGGAAGAACAAAUGUGUAAGUAACUAUGCACGUCUUGACGGUACCUAAUCAGAAAGCCACGGCUAACUACGUG
Molecule: ribosomal RNA, 497 nt
Filed under: uncultured bacterium
Lineage: Bacteria
Description: partial 16S ribosomal RNA
Rfam family: Bacterial small subunit ribosomal RNA
Source: RNAcentral